UGACUGGUUUUACUAAAAACCACUGAAUGUUUUUCUUUCAAUUUUAG
Non-coding RNA from Schistosoma curassoni, 47 nucleotides. The record is from Rfam. NCBI's taxonomy places the organism in Eukaryota, Metazoa, Platyhelminthes, Trematoda, Strigeidida, Schistosomatidae.